Adelges cooleyi (spruce gall adelgid) is the source of this 351-nucleotide long non-coding RNA. RefSeq lists it as uncharacterized. Lineage: Eukaryota; Metazoa; Arthropoda; Insecta; Hemiptera; Adelgidae. The record is from RefSeq and is a predicted model, not a curated record. The transcript has 4 exons.
CUCAGACAAUAGAAACCUCCAACGGAGUUUAUGUAUGUCACUUCCCAUGCCCGUGCAAAUUAGACCCAAAAAAACCCAAGCAAACAAUAGAAAUAAAAGUUCCGGCAACAGAAAUUCCCGACAGAUCUUGUUCAUGUUUUGGUGAACUAUCGUCGGAUUCGAUCAAUCGCCAACAAGAGCCAAAUGACCCCAGGAUAUCACCAAGACCGGCGAUAGAAAAGCCAAAGCAAACAACAAAACCUGACGGAAUUCGUUCAUGUUUUGGCAAAUCGUCAUCGAAUUUGAUCGAUCGCCAACAAGGACUUUCUGAGAGCGACGAAAAAAAGGCGUCAACCAAACCUAAAUAUCCGG